Molecule: ribosomal RNA, 253 nt
Filed under: uncultured bacterium
Lineage: Bacteria
Description: partial 16S ribosomal RNA
Rfam family: Bacterial small subunit ribosomal RNA
Source: RNAcentral
UACGAAGGGGGCGAGCGUUGUUCGGAUUUACUGGGCGUAAAGGGCGCGUAGGCGGCGGGUCAAGUCGAGUGUGAAAGCCCCGGGCUCAACCUGGGAAUUGCGCUCGAGACUGGUCUGCUUGAGUUCGGGAGAGGAGCGUGGAAUUCCCAGUGUAGAGGUGAAAUUCGUAGAUAUUGGGAAGGACACCGGUGGCGAAGGCGGCGCUCUGGACCGAGACUGACGCUGAGGCGCGAAAGCGUGGGGAGCAAACAGG